GUUCCCCCCGUCGAGCCCCGCGGCUGCGAGGGCUGUGGUCCGGCCGCAGCGCCGGGGCUCGGAGCCGGUCUGUGGGAAGGGGAGGAGGAGGAGGAGGAGGAAGGGGAGGGAGGGGCGGCCCCGCUCGGGGAUGCUCGGGCCGGCGGCAGGAGCUGCGGGGACGCUGCCGGCCGGAGCCCGGGGCAGGCUCGGGCUGGGGCUCGGGCACCCCGGCCAUGCCGGCUGCUCCCUCCCGGCGCCUUGCCCGGGGCACGGGCACCCCUUGGCGUCGGCAAUUCCCCGCUGCGGGCUCCUCCAGCGCUGUCUCCAGCUGCAGCCGUCCCUCCUGCGCUGGGACCGGGGAACCCCCGGGUCCUGCCCCGGCCUCCUCGGGCUUCAGGGAUCCAGGUUCCCCGGAGCGGGCAGACCAGCAGCCGCCGCAGGACACGCACUUCACCUCGCUUUCCCCGAAUCUCCCGUGGAUGCUCCUGCUCCAGCAGCUGCUCCCUCCCCGUCUUCCCUGCUCCAGCUCCCGCUAAAGCCAAUACUCGUGUAGCCCCGGGGCGGCACCAGGGUGCAGUGGGGAUGUCCUGGCUGCCCUGCCCCGGGGAGAUCCAGGCUCCGUGGCUCCUGGCGGCAGUGAGGGCAGCAGCAAAAGCUGAGAAAAGAGCGGCUGUGGUGGAUGUAACCUCCAAUCCAGAUGGCUCAUCCAGUACCCCAUCCCCAGCAGCUCCAGUUGCCUGGGACAGAGCAGGACUAGAAUUCCUACUGGGAAUUUCUUGUGAUACCGUUUCUCCAUGCAUGGUGGUUUUCCUCUUGUUCUGCCUCAUGAUGCAGGUUUGUUGUGGCAGCAGUGCCCAGGUCUCAAGGCUGGCUCAGCAAGGAGAAUUUUAAGCCAGGUAAGUGCCAAGGGCUUUCCCUUUUGCUUUCUGUGUGCCUUAGACUCGUUUCCAAACCUUUUUCUGUAGCUGGAGAGGUGAGAACACCUUGCCGCUGAGUGUGAGCCAAGAUCCAGACCCCGGGAGCCAAGGGAUUCAUAAAACCAUCGUGCAGUGCAACAACCUCAAUAAAUGGUAAAAAUCUGGUCA
This 1067-nucleotide long non-coding RNA is filed under the name Junco hyemalis (dark-eyed junco). Its description in RNAcentral is "lncRNA (ENSJHYG00000013610.1)". Lineage: Eukaryota; Metazoa; Chordata; Aves; Passeriformes; Passerellidae. The record is from RNAcentral.